UCUAUGUUUUAUUUGUUGACUGUAGUUCGAGCUUCUUAAAGGGAAUUUUGUCUUGCAGACGUACGGAUGAUGUUGUAUUUGUUUAGUCUAUUGCAAAAAAAGUUAUAUUUAUUUGCAAGUUUGGUGCAUAUGUCAUAGAAAUGGUUGCUUCCUAGACAAAAGGAUUAUGCACAGACAUUGAUCAAAGACAUUUUCAUAGUCACAAUGAUUAUGAUGCAUCUGAGCAUGUCAGACUAGAGGAAAAACAUUAAGCAGCUUGGAGCGUAAUUGAUGUUGGGACUGAUAAUGAUUUAGGGAGGCUGAACCAUCGUUGGAUAUGUAAAGAAUGGGUUGGCGGCGUUAAAUUUUAGUCUUUUAUACAAUCUGGUCUUAAGCAUCCAAAUUGAUGUUUGGGUUAGUACAUCAGAUGCAUAAGAUUUUGAAGGUGAUGGUCUGCAAAGUCAGCCUACGUAAUAAUCAAGAGCAUUCCCUUCAGGUUGGUCAGAGACUGUCCACCAUUUUUUAAUUAGAUUCUAGAUGGCAGCAACCACAGAAUAAUGACCGAGAAGAGGUGGUUUUCUGUUUCUUCAGCAAUGUUACAAACUGGACCAUAUGAUAAAGGUGUAUCAAUGUUUCCAAGGGUUAGAUAAUGGUGGUUGGUAUGGAGUUAACAACACAUCUCAAGGUGAUAAUGUUAAGUUUAGUUGGUGCAAUUUUAUUCCAUCUAAGAAGUUUUGGGGUAGAUUGUGGUGGUGGGCAGGCUGUUCAAAGCACAUAUUAACACAAUUUUUUUUAUAUAACUACAUUUACAAGUAGUGAUUUAAGCAAUGAAAACACUGCCUUCAGGUUCAUCAAAAGUGGUUAAAUAUGAUGAUCGAGAUCUGUUUUAA
This is a long non-coding RNA of Erigeron canadensis, 869 nucleotides long. RefSeq lists it as uncharacterized. The transcript is spliced from 3 exons. NCBI's taxonomy places the organism in Eukaryota, Viridiplantae, Streptophyta, Magnoliopsida, Asterales, Asteraceae. The record is from RefSeq and is a predicted model, not a curated record.